Molecule: long non-coding RNA, 816 nt
Organism: Fundulus heteroclitus (mummichog)
Lineage: Eukaryota; Metazoa; Chordata; Actinopteri; Cyprinodontiformes; Fundulidae
Exons: 5
Source: RefSeq, a predicted model, not a curated record
AUGCAGCUAAUAUUAGCUAUUGUCAACACUUUUUUGAAAGUAACUGUAACUUGCUGCUCAUUGUUUUAUUAGAAAAAUCAACCAAGCUUUCACUGACAUUGGGGAGCACAUUACGCAACAACACGAAGGUGACGAAGAUUAUACCCAGAGAGAACUGAGAGCAGAAACUCGUCUCACAGGUCCAAGGGAUAGUGAAGAUGCCACCCGAAGAAGUGAGCUGAUUGCAGGACCUCUCAAAGUGGCACAGGUGAGGCAAAACUUCAGACAAAACUUUUCAUGUGUUUAUCAUUCUUAAAUUGCAGUAACUUGUCUGUUCUUUCAUGUUAUUCUUAGGAAAGUGAGGAAGACUACAGUCAGACAGUACUUGCAAGUACAGAGGACAACAAUGAAGAUGCUAGUGCUACACAAAGACAAGAUCAAAGAGCAGAAUCUUCUACAGUGGUACAGGAGAAUUGUCCUCAAGAAAAAUGUGAUGUCCACUCCUCCCACGGACUAACAGAAGAGCAAAGCAUCAUCUCGAUUCUUUCGUUUGCACUGAGGCACAACACUACAGGAGUAUUAAUGGAGGACCUUCUGAAACUGCUGAAGUUGCAUUCUGCUGGGACCACUGCAGUUCCAAGAAGCAAGUAUUUUCUGGAGAAACCAUUUGCUGAUAUUACUAAGCAGUUUGAGCAACAUCAUUACUGUAAAGUCUGUACUAAGUACACUGGUUCUUCACAGACUCCAGAGGAAAUGCUCACAUGUGUGCCAUGUUCCUUAUCCACUACAGUGCAAGCCAGUUUAGAGGAAGGCCAUUUUUUCAUUAGUAUACCAUUA